CGUCGCGAGGCGGAAUCUGAAGAAAGCCGGAUUUGGAGGGUUGAAAGGUCCCUUCAUGGGCAAAGCCCUGGCCCGACGAACAGAAAUCUUGUCAGGCCGUAAGCGAGGGUAAGACUGCAACACAAGCCAAAGCCCAAUAGCUGCACGGAAUCGCUUGCGGUGAACAAGGCGGGUAUAA
This 178-nucleotide non-coding RNA is filed under the name uncultured Faecousia sp. The record is from RNAcentral. Lineage: Bacteria; Bacillati; Bacillota; Clostridia; Eubacteriales; Oscillospiraceae.